GCAAGGUACAAUGUUCUUACAGAUUGUAUUUUAUCUCUUGGUUUUGAGCUCCGCUUUUUGCCAGGUUGUGAUCAACGUUGAUCAAUGAGGCAGAAAUGAACAGGUCGUCGUGACAAACACAAAAAACAUGUUGCUGUGAAAAUUUGAAGGAUAUUGUUGAAAAUGGGACGAGGUCUGUGCUGGACGAGUACAUCGCCAGGACGCAGUAUACGGCCAGUCCUACACCUUCUUCUUCUCCCGUGACAUUUCCAGGUCAAGGCGUAUUGGAGCAGGGAGCAGGCGGGUGUCUGCUUCAGACUUCUAUAAAACAUGGGAUGAGUACAAACAUGGCUUUGGAGACUUAGAUGGCAAUUUUUGGCUCGGCAAUGACAAAAUUGUCUCCUUAUGUAACGACGAGCAAUUUGAGUUGAGGAUUGACAUGGAGUUGGGCGACGAUACUCGCUAUGCACAGUACAGCAGUUUUUCGGUAGAAGAUGAAUCACAAAACUACAGGCUUCACGUGAUGGAUUCAGUGGUACUGCAAGGGAUAGUCUGGCGUUUCACGAUAACUAUGAGUUUUCAACAAACGACCGAGACAACGAUGCUAGUGAGAGAAACUGUGCAGAGAUAUCUUCGGGAGCAUGGUGGUAUAAAGGAUACUAUAAGUCAAAUCUUAACGGGUUGUACGGAAGUAACGUAACUACCAAAGGAAUUAAGUGGAUCACCUGGCCUGAAAGCAUACAUUAUCUUUCAAUGACUGAAAUGAAAAUUCGACGGGCACCACAUAACUAAAAGGUAGUUUGAUCGUCAACAAUGACAAGGCGCUUGAAGAUCGAAUAGGAAGCUAAAUGUAUCAAAUAUAUCGAGUAUUCAAGAUAUACUUAAUAUCCAUUAAUUGGUGUUAAUCAUUCGAAUUGUAAAAUCUUAAUAUGUCAAAAAUAGACUAGCGGACAAUAAUAAACUCUGAUUGGUAACAAUGAUUUAAAGAUAUUACUUUUACAAAUACAAUUGCGUGUUAUUUGAUUUUUGUUUAUCAUAAUUUCAAUUAUUCAUAGUGGUACUAUGUGUGUAGGUGCUUACUAUCUGAACCAUUUAGCAAAAAAGGGGGAAAAAGGGAAAAAUAAAGUUGUACAGUGCAAAAGUGCAAAAUAUAUCCUCCAUGUGUGAGGACCUUAUCAUUCUUUUAAAGAAGUAGUGCAUUUUUAUUUGCAGACAUAUCUUGUGCAUAAAUGUAAAGCUCCUAUAACACCAACAACAUUAUAAUUGUGAAUGUAAAACACAUGUUUGAAAACUUGUAUUAUUAAGCUUAUGUCAGUUUAAAUGAAUGUACUUAAUAUGUUCACGCUUUUAAUAAAUAUAUUUUAACAUA
This is a long non-coding RNA of Mya arenaria, 1348 nucleotides long. RefSeq lists it as uncharacterized. The record is from RefSeq and is a predicted model, not a curated record. Lineage: Eukaryota; Metazoa; Mollusca; Bivalvia; Myida; Myidae. The transcript is spliced from 2 exons.